ACACCUCAACUCUCAUGGUUUGCCAUGAUGAGCUUGGACUCUGGGGGUUUUGCUGGCCUGUGGCCGGCUCCUCUCAAAUGGAUCAGCUUACCAGUGUUUGGUGGCGUCACAGGUGUGAUAAUUAUCUACGCUUGUUGUUGUCCGCCGAGUAACCUUUGGUGACGGAGGUUCGCUGGAGCUUAUAAACGUCUCUCCUCAGCGAAGACAGCUUUUUGACC
This 218-nucleotide unclassified non-coding RNA is filed under the name uncultured Tomentella. RNAcentral's name for it is "sequence contains ITS2". The record is from RNAcentral. Lineage: Eukaryota; Fungi; Basidiomycota; Agaricomycetes; Thelephorales; Thelephoraceae.